CCAGACUCCUACGGGAGGCAGCAGUAGGGAAUCUUCGGCAAUGGACGAAAGUCUGACCGAGCAACGACGCGUGAGUGAAGAAGGUUUUCGGAUCGUAAAGCUCUGUUGUAAGAGAAGAACGAGUGUGAGAGUGGAAAGUUCACACUGUGACGGUAUCUUACCAGAAAGGGACGGCUAACUACGUGCCAGCAGCCGCGGUAAUACGUAGGUCCCGAGCGUUGUCCGGAUUUAUUGGGCGUAAAGCGAGCGCAGGCGGUUAGAUAAGUCUGAAGUUAAAGGCUGUGGCUUAACCAUAGUACGCUUUGGAAACUGUUUAACUUGAGUGCAAGAGGGGAGAGUGGAAUUCCAUGUGUAGCGGUGAAAUGCGUAGAUAUAUGGAGGAACACCGGUGGCGAAAGCGGCUCUCUGGCUUGUAACUGACGCUGAGGCUCGAAAGCGUGGGGAGCAAACAGGAUUAGAUACCCUGGUAGUCCACGCCGUAAACGAUGAGUGCUAGGUGUUAGACCCUUUCCGGGGUUUAGUGCCGCAGCUAACGCAUUAAGCACUCCGCCUGGGGAGUACGACCGCAAGGUUGAAACUCAAAGGAAUUGACGGGGGCCCGCACAAG
Molecule: ribosomal RNA, 607 nt
Filed under: uncultured bacterium
Lineage: Bacteria
Description: bacterial SSU rRNA
Rfam family: Bacterial small subunit ribosomal RNA
Source: RNAcentral